RNAcentral lists this transfer RNA (70 nucleotides) under Ovis aries (sheep). It matches the Rfam family "tRNA". Rfam says of the family: Transfer RNA (tRNA) molecules are approximately 80 nucleotides in length. Their secondary structure includes four short double-helical elements and three loops (D, anti-codon, and T loops). Lineage: Eukaryota; Metazoa; Chordata; Mammalia; Artiodactyla; Bovidae. The record is from Rfam by way of RNAcentral.
CCUGGUGGCUCGGAUAGUAAAAGCAUCUGCCUGCAAAGCGGGAAACCCGGGUUCAAUUCCUGGGUCAGGA